UACGUAGGGGGGCGAGCGUUGUCCGGAAUCAUUGGGCGUAAAGCGCGUGUAGGCGGUCCGGUAAGUCCGCUGUGAAAGUCGGGGGGCUCAACCCUCGGAUGCCGGUGGAUACUGUCGGGCUUGAGUACGGAAGAGGCGAGUGGAAUUCCUGGUGUAGCGGUGAAAUGCGCAGAUAUCAGGAGGAACACCGAUGGCGAAGGCAGGUCUCUGGGCGAUUUAA
Molecule: ribosomal RNA, 220 nt
Filed under: uncultured bacterium
Lineage: Bacteria
Description: partial 16S ribosomal RNA
Rfam family: Bacterial small subunit ribosomal RNA
Source: RNAcentral